This 251-nucleotide ribosomal RNA is filed under the name uncultured bacterium. Its description in RNAcentral is "partial 16S ribosomal RNA". It matches the Rfam family "Bacterial small subunit ribosomal RNA", at positions 525 to 775 of the family's 1533-position model. The record is from RNAcentral.
ACGUAGGGGGCAAGCGUUAUCCGGAAUUACUGGGUGUAAAGGGAGCGUAGGCGGCAUGGUAAGCCAGAUGUGAAAGCCUUGGGCUUAACCCGAGGAUUGCAUUUGGAACUAUCAAGCUAGAGUACAGGAGAGGAAAGCGGAAUUCCUAGUGUAGCGGUGAAAUGCGUAGAUAUUAGGAAGAACACCAGUGGCGAAGGCGGCUUUCUGGACUGAAACUGACGCUGAGGCUCGAAAGCGUGGGGAGCAAACAG